CAAUCACAGUAAAGCAUUUAAUAUCCAAUGCUACCAGUUCAAUCAUAAAAGCCUUAAGCCUUUCAGUCUUAAUUGGUAAUGCUGGACACAUUAUUCAUAAGUGGUCUGCUCUUCCUAUUGUCUUAUGGUCGUGCUUCUGGGGUAGCUUUGCUCACAACAUGGCCAGGUCCUUCAAAGAUGACUCAAAGAUCAAGCUGAGGAUGAAAAUUUCCCUCCUGUUCUUUUUCCAUAAGAUUUAAAAAAUUCCAAAAUUGGGCUUGCUCUUGCUUCUUUUUCAAGGCAGGAUAGUCUCCAGCAGUUCCACCCGGGAGCAAUCACAUCCCAGCCACCAAAACUCCCCAUUUAGGUAUCUGAAAGCAGAUGCACUGGGCACUGAGCCAUUUCCAAGUCUGGCCCACCACCAACUGCAGGGCUAUUCAUGGCAAUAUGAUUCAUAACAAUAAACGUUUUUGAAGUGCUUCUCAUUAAAUUAUCCACACAAGCUGAUGGUAAUUCCUCUGUGAUGUGGAACAAGACUUUGCAAUGCUGAGAGGCUGCUAAGUGCAGUGCAGAGGAACAUGCAGGCUUCACACAGAUUUUUAUGGCAAACUGCAUGUCUUUUUUCCUGCAGCAAGACUCUGAGAAUCAUGAGUCUGGGGCCGAGGUGCAAGAUUAUUUCUCUGAACUUGUACCUAAAAUUCUGCCCCUUCUAUGCAUGCUUUUCUGUGAGAAAACAAAACCAAAAAAAAAAAAAAAAAAAAAGCUCCAGCAAACCUUAGGCCCCUAAAUACCUCUGGUUUUGGCAUUUUCAAUAAGAAUAAACAAGGAAGGCACAUUUGCCACAGGCUCAUGGAAAUGAAGUGUGGAAUUCCUGUCCUCUUCAUCAUGCCUUAGUCCUCUGCACUCAAUAAAGCCCUAUUUCAAGAUCUUGCUAUAGACAUAAAUGUUCAGUCUCAUAGCAUCUUUAGAGGGCUGUGUAAUGAUAUAUGCUCACAUGAAAACCUCUAAAUUCCUUGACUGCAAGGAGUUUUAUAGCUUGCAAGUAUGGUACUAUUAUAUACUGUCUGUCAUACGAGGAUACCAGAGUUUGAAUUGUUGCUACCAGCCUUGUCUAGCAUAACAUAUUGACCCUUAAUCUGGUUUCCCCAUGAGGAGCCCUACUAUCAUGUCCACAUGUAAUCAGACCUGUGCAGCUGCCUACAUGUUCUUUUUAAUUUGAUUGAAGUUAAUCACAGUAGGAUUAAUUUGAAGAGAUCAAGGAAACAGAGUGAUAUUUUGUGGAAAGCAGAUGGUUUCUUCUGGAUGGAAUAAAGCUCUGAAAGCCAUAGGAGGUGUUUAACUUCUCAGGUUUACCAAGAUUAAAAGCUCAGGGAUUCUGUAACUUAAAUAUAAUAUAUUUAAUCACAUUUAUGCCAUGUCAGUGAAAGAAACCUUUGGAAACUAACUGUGUGGUUUUCAAAAGGAAGGGGGCUUAUUGACAGAUACUGGCAUCUGAUGAUCGUCCAGCACACCUCUGAAGGGAGAAAUGAAAACAUGCAUCCAACACUGGCAUAAUUAUUCCAAACAAAGUAAAGUUAAGCACUACUGUUUUCAUGAGAACCUAAGGAAUCCUGCCUCUCCAAAUGGCAUAAUGUGUCAGGGUAAAAGAUUAAGCAUAAUAAAUGGACUGGUAGGUCAGCACUGAUGUGUGAUUUUGGCUGUUUUCUUUUUGCCCUCCAAACUGAGUUUUUUUUAAAGGAAGCCCAUAUAAAAGCACAGAGUAAAUACACAUCAGGUAACUAGAACCUAGCCAACCACCUAACACCCUGGGCACUUUUAAAAAUCUGGACUUAAAAAAGUUUAAAUACACUUGAAGAAGUAUUUCAUUAACAAGCUGCAAUUCUUUUUCCAUCUCUUACACAUGCAUAUAAAAUACAUUGGCACAUUCCCAUGCUCACACACAGACAUCCUGAUUUCUCUACAAACUCAGACCUUGCUGAAGCACCAUAAUUUGCAUAAAUUGUUUCUGACAUACAUGUUAAGCAGGAAAGAAGCAUCCUCACUACAAUGAGGAUGUAAACUAGAUGAAACUGAGAUAGGAAUAGCCAGAGCAGGUCUGCAGAACAAGGGAAAUUCUUGGGAAAACACAUGCAGGUGUAUCCCUCAAACAUCCGAAAGAAGAGUUUAUCAAAUUUUCAUUUCUAAGAGCACUGAACAGCAAUGAUUACUCAGCUAGAUUUGCCCUUUUGAAACAGAAUCUUGACUUAUUUGAGAAGUCUGCACACUUUAAUUACAUCCAAUUAUCUUGUAUAGGGCUGUUAAAUAGCAUACAUCACUAGUAUUAGCAGGGUCAGAAUACCAUUAGGGUGAAAUGCAUUCCUUCAUUCAAAACUUCUAAUCAGAGCUUCCAUAGGAUACAAGAAACUCUCCUGUGGAUGUGUCCUCUCAUCUUUCAUUUACAUUAAGUACUACAGUCUCCAUUACCAUUGUUGAUAAGAGCCUCACAAAUGGCCACAAUUUUGCUUUCACAAAAAGGCAUGAGGUCAGUAGUCAGUAUACCCUAUUUAGAGCCAAAAAAUAAGAGAGCUGAAAUGCCAGAGCAGAUCCUCACCCCUUUCUGUGCCUGCAAAAAUAGAAGAAGGUGGAAGAACAGCAGACUCUGGAAAAGGGAAAAUGGAAAGUCACCUAUAGAAAAGGUGGCACAGUAUCAAGACCACCAGGUUACUUCUGUACACACAAAGGUCAGCAGUGCACACCCUACUUGCAGCUACAGACAACUUUACGCAGAGAAGGCUACAAGAAGCAUGAAAUCAUUAAGAUGUAUUUUAAUCUGCUUUAAACAUAAUGUAACUAUUUCUUUGCUAUAAGCAUGUCUCAUUUAAACCCCGGGGUCUAGUUCUUCUCCCAUUAUAUGCAUUUAUUAAACAUUCCAUAAUCUGCAAGUGCUGAGAGGCAAUUUAGGGCAGGACCUCAUAGUGAUUAUCACUUAGUGCAAAGGAGCUUAUUACUUUACACCCACACUACGAAACAGUCACUAGAGAUAUGGCAGAAUUUAUAUCUGCUGAAAUUAAAGCUUAGUUAUGGAUAUUAAUAGAUACAGCAUCAUAUUUUCCAGUUAGACUUACCUAACUACAAACUUGUUCUAUUGUAAAGUUUUGCUUUUCAUCAUGUAAUUAAAGGUGAUAUAUAUGAUCCUGAAGGUAGUAACAACAUUGUAUAUAUUUACCUUUUUGACAUACUAAGAGAUAUUCUGCUAAUAGCUAAGUAUAUUUACCCUGCAAUUGUUAUAAGUCCUGCAGGAAAACCUUUGGUUGUAUUACAAUUUAAUUAAAUAUAUGAAAAAGAAUAAUUAGGCGGUUACUUUGUAACUAAAACAUAAUUACCAAGUGAAUAUACAGAUUAUAGUGGGUUUGUCCCACAAACCACGGCCCUUCUACUCACAGUGCACAGAGCAAUUAAUUUGGAGGGUACUGGGAUCAGCAGCUAAAAAACAUGGUACUUCUACUUGACCCUAGAUACAAUCAACUACUUCAGCUGCGAGCAAAAAGCCUGUCAUGCCCAGCUUCUCUGCUCACUGGACUGCAAGCUCUCUGGGACAGAGUGUAGUAGAGUACAAACCUCUACUUUACAUAGCCCAAAAGCUGAGGACUCUGUAAACUGGCAGUUACGAUUUCCUUCAGUGGUACCUUUCCAUAUUUAUGAUUUCUUCUAAAAUUAUGGCCCACAAACUGUAUAAUUCCUUGUAAGUUGAAACAAACUGGAGCUGCUCCUAAUGACAGUAGAGAGGCUUUCUCAGCAGAUCUGCUUGUAGUCAGGCUGCAAAAGCUCUCAGAGGAGGAUGAAAGAGUUAAUUAGAAAAGAAGGAUCAGAGUGAAAAAAAGUAUAAAUGAGUGAUUAAGGAAAAAAACGAGAGAUCAAUUUUAUAAAGGGAAUUAUAUUUAAAUGCCAACUUCCUCCAGCUGCCUGCAUAAUUCAUGUAAUACCUCUAGCCCAUACAUGUCAGUUGAUAUCUCUACCUGUUUAAGGACAUUAAUCACACUCCAGAAAAGUCAGCCAUUGUAUUAAAGAAAAGAUUACAUAGAAAAUGAAAAUAACAGAUACUGAGCAGGAAGAACAUUGACUUUGAUGCCAAGAUACCGCAGACAUAGGUAGAUGGAGAAUCUGACCUUCAUUCUGUACCAGAAACAAGUGGUGUAAUUUUAGAGGAUGUUGUUUCAUAUAUAGCCUCUGGGCAAAUUGUUUGGUUUAAUUUCAGUUAAAAAAAAAAUUGAAAUUAAUAACUUUUCAAAGUUUAUUUUCCUGAGGGAAAAAAAAAAUCAAAGUCCUUUUAAAAAGGAAGUUUCAUAGCACAAAAACUAGGCAUCCAAUGCUAUUACAAUUUAAAAAAAAUUGAAAGCGUCCUUUUGAUUUCUCAAAAGCUGUAAAAAAACAUUAUGUUGACACAAAAAAAAAUCCCACUGAAUUCAACGAGCCUAAAGUCACGUCUUUUGGGACGGUCCAUAUGUCCCAAGUCCUGCAACACCCACAAAUGAGAAAAAUAAAGAUAAAAAUUAUCUCUGUCAUAUUGCCAGCUUCUUACUAUCCACAACAGUCCCUUUUCAUUUGUCAAAUACAUGAGUUAGGAUGGUUGGUAGUGCCAAACCCUGAGUUGCCUGUACUGGCUGCAGCUUGGGAGUGGACACAUGGCCUGGAUAUCCUGGGAUGCUCCAGCCAGGACUUGUACCCACUGUUCUCAGGGGAUGCAGCUUGUCCUACUGAAAUAGAGAUUUUUGGAGUUCACUUAAGUUAACAAAAUGAAUUAAGCAUUUAUAUUUUAGCUUGUAGAGUUAUGUGUUGAAUUUUAACCUUCUACUUAAGAAACCUCUGCCAUGGUACAAAGGCCAUAGGAAAAUGCAAAUUUCUGAAGCUUCUUACAUAAAGAACAAGGCCUAGGAAUGCAAAGAACCCAGAUAAAGAAGCUCCUCUGUCCCUAAGCCUAUCAAGACUGACAGAUGUACUCAGAUAAGCACCAAAGGACCAAAAGCACACACGCAAAGGAGAGAAGUUCAAAAGUUCAUCCAUGAGGAAGACCACGAUCUUCAGACUCAAGAGACCACCAGAGACCCCCGCAGGACCACCACGACAAACCAUGCGUGCCCAGAAGGGCAUGGACCUAUUUAGCAUGAGGGGCGAGGACAGGUGGGCCAGGGGCUGAAUAUGCAUUAAAAAGUUGUGUAAUGUACUUCAUAUGGAACACCUUUGAGAAUAAAGGUGUGGGUGAGACCGAGGCUCGGUGCACAAAUUUUUGGAGAGAUAUCUCACUUGUGCCAGGCACUGACAAUACAUACCCACCUCAUAACUACCCCAGGGUGUGAUGUCUUACCUAUUUAUUCCGUGUAUCGCUUCACUGCAGCACCCCAAUCUUCUCACCAGCGCUCGUCACCAGCUCAGGUAUGUCUCAGAAGCAGGUGUGUUUCACAGAGCUCUCUAGAUCCUUGCUCAGCUGCUUGUACAAUUUGCCAUCUCCAGUCCCCUGUGCGGUGAGCACCAGAAUCUCUCCACAUGAGCAAAUACAAUAGGACAGAGUAAGAACAUUUAGCAGUCAGUGCAACAAGUUGCUUCCCCGUGAUUGCUCCUUUUGUGUUAAGAGCUUGUCCUUCACACUUCUCCGACAGCUGAGAACUUCGCAGCUAAUCAGUGUGCUAAUGAAACGGUUGUUCUGUUAAUAAAAAAUUUUAGAAACUGGCAAAGAAGAGGCAGCUUUACAAAUGAACCUUCCUCUUCAGCUAGGGCUGCCAUUCAAUACUCAAGAGCCACAAAACAACACUUCAGCAAUGCUUAAACUUUACUACUUCAACAGUUCACUUCUUUCUCAGCAGGAUCAUAAACCAAUUAAAAACAUGACAGGAAUUUACCAAGAACAACCAAGUCAAUCAUAUGGUUAGUAUUGUAAUAAAGUCACAUCGGAGGAGUCCAAACCCUAGCUUGGAACAGAGCCUGCUGUGCCACGGACUGCCCAGCACACAGCAAGGGUCCCCACUUCUGCCAUGGACA
RNAcentral lists this long non-coding RNA (5991 nucleotides) under Taeniopygia guttata (zebra finch). RNAcentral's name for it is "lncRNA (ENSTGUG00000021513.1)". The record is from RNAcentral. Lineage: Eukaryota; Metazoa; Chordata; Aves; Passeriformes; Estrildidae.